This 69-nucleotide transfer RNA is filed under the name Ictidomys tridecemlineatus (thirteen-lined ground squirrel). Its description in RNAcentral is "Spermophilus tridecemlineatus (thirteen-lined ground squirrel) tRNA". It matches the Rfam family "tRNA". Rfam says of the family: Transfer RNA (tRNA) molecules are approximately 80 nucleotides in length. Their secondary structure includes four short double-helical elements and three loops (D, anti-codon, and T loops). The record is from Rfam by way of RNAcentral. Lineage: Eukaryota; Metazoa; Chordata; Mammalia; Rodentia; Sciuridae.
GGGGCUGUAACUCAACGGCAGAGUGUUUGCCUAGCAUGCUUGAGGUACUGGGUUCAAUCCCCAGCACCA